UACCAGCUCUCCGAGUGGUAGGGAUGAUUAUUGGGCUUAAAGCGUCCGUAGCCGGCUUAGCAAGUCUCCUGUUAAAUUCAGCGACCUAAUCGUUGAGCCGCGGGAGAUGCUACUAGGCUAGGAGGCGGGAGAGGUCGACGGUACUUCUGGGGUAGGGGUGAAAUCCUAUAAUCCCGGGAGGACCACCAGUGGCGAAGGCUGUCGACUAGAACGCGCUCGACGGUGAGGGACGAAAGCUGGGGGAGCGAACCGGAUUAGAUACCCGGGUAGUCCCAGCUGUAAACGAUGCGGGCUAGGUGUUGGGGUGGCUACGUGCCACUUCAGUGCCGCAGGGAAGCCAUUAAGCCCGCCGCCUGGGGAGUACGGCCGCAAGGCUGAAACUUAAAGGAAUUGGCGGGGAGCACCACAAGGCGUGAAGCUUGCGGUUC
RNAcentral lists this ribosomal RNA (428 nucleotides) under uncultured archaeon. RNAcentral describes it as "bacterial SSU rRNA". It matches the Rfam family "Archaeal small subunit ribosomal RNA", at positions 474 to 903 of the family's 1478-position model. The record is from RNAcentral.